This 411-nucleotide unclassified non-coding RNA is filed under the name Hevea brasiliensis (rubber tree). Lineage: Eukaryota; Viridiplantae; Streptophyta; Magnoliopsida; Malpighiales; Euphorbiaceae. The record is from RNAcentral.
AAGAAAUUGGUUUUCAUUGGCUUACUAGAUUAAUCAUUAGUAAACUUUAGUAGAAGUGAAAAAGUGAAAGAGAGGCGGGGGAGAUAGAUUUUAAUUAUAUACUAAUUGAUUUGAUGGUAGUUUGGCCUAAUGGUAUUUUCCUGCCCAAAAACCAGAUUUAUUUCAAUUUGGUGUAAUGCAGUGCAUUUUUGUGAAAUUUCAUUGAUACAAUCACUUUGAUGUAUUAUCAGUUUUAGCAAUUGUUACAAUGCUUUAUUGUUUUUCACUAUAUCAUUUCAAUUUUUUUUUUCUGUUUACUGUUUGUUCAAGGUGGUGACCAAUCCAAUCCCACUGCAAUAAAAGAAACCCACAACUUCUCAUUUUGUCCCACUUUUCGCUUUCUAAUCUUAUUUUAGUCUUUAGUUUCUUGAU